RNAcentral lists this small RNA (532 nucleotides) under Pseudo-nitzschia calliantha. RNAcentral's name for it is "eukaryotic LSU rRNA". It matches the Rfam family "Eukaryotic large subunit ribosomal RNA", at positions 44 to 507 of the family's 3401-position model. Lineage: Eukaryota; Bacillariophyta; Bacillariophyceae; Bacillariales; Bacillariaceae. The record is from RNAcentral.
CAUUAAGCGGGGAAAGAACUAACUAGGAUUCCCUCAGUAACGGCGAGUGAAGCGGGAUGAGCUCAGGAUGUAAAUCUGCGCUAUUAAAGCGCCGAAUUGUGGUCUGUAGACUUUGGUGUUAUCUGCCGGGCCAAGUUCCUUGGAAAAGGACAGCUGAGAGGGUGAGACUCCCGUCCGCCUGGUAGAGUGAGCCUUUGUCAAAGAGUCGAGUUGUUUGGGAUUGCAGCUCUAAUUUGGUGGUAAAUUCCAUCUAAAGCUAAAUAUUGGUGGGAGACCGAUAGCGUACAAGUACCGUGAGGGAAAGAUGCAAAGAACUUUGAAAAGAGAGUUAAAGAGUACCUGAAAUUGCUGAAACGGAAGCGAAGGAAACCAGUGUUUGUUUGUUCAUAUUUCCCUGACCACUUGUGGUUUGGGCGCUGUGGGCUUGCGUCGGUUUGCUUUGGUUAAUCCCUUUGGAAGAGCGCAGUCAGAGUUGAUGUCUGUUGCUAGCACUGGGUUUUAUCUUGAGUAGAACGAAAAGGUUACUUACCGA